UACUUACAUUUAUGGUCGUAUAACCAUGCUUGCUUCGAGAGGAGUCCGUACUUCCACUCCUCCUUGGGGAAAUUGUCAAAAAGUUCCAUCAUUUCCAUUUCUCUUUCUUCAGAAAUGUCUCCAAAGUCAGCAGAGAUCUUCUCGUCAGUGGCCCAGUUCGGUAGGGAAGAGAUUUCGGGGCCUUUGACGUAGAACCACUUUUCAUGCCAGCCCCUGUUGCUCGAAGGCGUGUUCACCAGCGAACGCCUCUCGAACUUCUCUCCUGACUUCGGAGAAUGCUUGCUAAUGGCCUUGAACCCCUUCUCCCUAGAUUGUACUAUUUUGUAUAUUGUGAAGAAGGAGUCCAGGGAGGGCUCCACGCCCAAUUCAUGACAGAAGGCCACGAAGGCCAAGAUGUGGAUGUAUGAGUUCGGUACUAGUUGAGCGAACCCCACCCCAGAAACCCCAGCAGGGUUACUAUGAAGAUAUGCAAAGGGAAACGAACCCCCUUCUCCAAUAGAGUCACAGAAACGGCCGUCCAACCUUCUGGCCGUUGGUACAUCUUCUCACCGGAUCUAGGAACCCUAGCUGCGUGGGUAUCCGGGAUGUGGUAUCGAGACCGAAUCCUCUUUAGUUCAGCCUCUGUGACAAUCGAGGGAGUAUUGGCGUGCGAGAAUCGCUCAGUAUUCCUGUAGUAUUCGGAGGGGGUUUUGGGAUUUAUUGGGAGAGGGUUCUUAUCAGAUUUCGACCCCUUUGGGUUCAGUGUCGAGGCUCCUUCAUGAGCAGCGGUGGUAGGAUUUGGUGGAACGGCUGUGAGUGGGGUUACCAAU
RNAcentral lists this long non-coding RNA (809 nucleotides) under Panax ginseng (ginseng). Its description in RNAcentral is "long non-coding RNA (PGIN_LNC006470)". The record is from RNAcentral. Lineage: Eukaryota; Viridiplantae; Streptophyta; Magnoliopsida; Apiales; Araliaceae.